UGAAAUAUGGGUAAUUAAUCUUUGACCAUC
RNAcentral lists this non-coding RNA (30 nucleotides) under Mus musculus (house mouse). Lineage: Eukaryota; Metazoa; Chordata; Mammalia; Rodentia; Muridae. The record is from RNAcentral.